This 678-nucleotide ribosomal RNA is filed under the name Escherichia coli. RNAcentral describes it as "partial 23S ribosomal RNA". It matches the Rfam family "Bacterial large subunit ribosomal RNA", at positions 2270 to 2925 of the family's 2925-position model. Lineage: Bacteria; Pseudomonadati; Pseudomonadota; Gammaproteobacteria; Enterobacterales; Enterobacteriaceae. The record is from RNAcentral.
UUGACUGGGGCGGUCUCCUCCUAAAGAGUAACGGAGGAGCACGAAGGUUGGCUAAUCCUGGUCGGACAUCAGGAGGUUAGUGCAAUGGCAUAAGCCAGCUUGACUGCGAGCGUGACGGCGCGAGCAGGUGCGAAAGCAGGUCAUAGUGAUCCGGUGGUUCUGAAUGGAAGGGCCAUCGCUCAACGGAUAAAAGGUACUCCGGGGAUAACAGGCUGAUACCGCCCAAGAGUUCAUAUCGACGGCGGUGUUUGGCACCUCGAUGUCGGCUCAUCACAUCCUGGGGCUGAAGUAGGUCCCAAGGGUAUGGCUGUUCGCCAUUUAAAGUGGUACGCGAGCUGGGUUUAGAACGUCGUGAGACAGUUCGGUCCCUAUCUGCCGUGGGCGCUGGAGAACUGAGGGGGGCUGCUCCUAGUACGAGAGGACCGGAGUGGACGCAUCACUGGUGUUCGGGUUGUCAUGCCAAUGGCAUUGCCCGGUAGCUAAAUGCGGAAGAGAUAAGUGCUGAAAGCAUCUAAGCACGAAACUUGCCCCGAGAUGAGUUCUCCCUGAGACUUUAGGUCUCCUGAAGGAACGUUGAAGACGACGACGUUGAUAGGCCGGGUGUGUAAGCGCAGCGAUGCGUUGAGCUAACCGGUACUAAUGAACCGUGAGGCUUAACCUUACAACGCCGAAGCUGUU